UGAAUCGAUGGGAGCAUUGAGGCAUCAAAUUAUGGAGCACCGUGCUUCUACAACCAGUCAACCUGAGUUCAGCGCUGGGAAUCGACGGAUCGCUGAUGCUGCUGCACAAGAACAGGCAUCGAUUUGAACAAGGAUGCAUCGCUCGUGCUUAUUGGGGAUAGGAUGCGAUGCAGGCUUCUCUGUGAUUUCUUUUUCGUGGUGGAUGCAUCUUUCAUUCGAUUGGAAAGUUGUGAUUAGAUCCUCUUUUCCACUGUGCGUGACUAUGCUUUUGUGAAUCGAAUUGAUUUCAUUUUGCAUGAUUCA
This is a long non-coding RNA of Panicum virgatum (switchgrass), 303 nucleotides long. RefSeq lists it as uncharacterized. Lineage: Eukaryota; Viridiplantae; Streptophyta; Magnoliopsida; Poales; Poaceae. The transcript is spliced from 2 exons. The record is from RefSeq and is a predicted model, not a curated record.